AGAUGCAUACAGUUACUGUGAAUCAGCUAAAGAGCUGUGGGAUACGUUGAAGAAGGUGUAUGGGAAUACAUCAAACCUGAGCCGUGUGUUUGAGGUGAAGCAGGCUAUAAACAACUUGGUACAAGAGGAUAUGGAGUUCACCAAGCAUCUAGGGAGGUUCAGAACACUCUGGUCCGAGCUGGAGAUGUUGAGGCCAAGCACUACAGAUGCAGAUGAGCUCAACAAAAGAAGAGAGCAAGACAAGGUCUUUGGGCUACUCCUCACCAUGAAUCCGGCGUACAAUGGUCUUAUCCAACACUUGCUUAGAGAGGACACACUACCUGAUCUUGAAGAAGUGUGCGCAAGGAUUCAGAAGGAACAAGGCUCUAUUGGGUUGUUUGGAAAGAAAGGAGAGCUAUCUCUCGUAAAUCAAGCAACUCAAGAGGAGGGAGGGGAAGCUCCACAAGCACACAAGGCUGCGCAUGGGAAGUAUGAUGAGAGGAGGUUCAAUGGGAACUGUGAUCACUGCAAGAAGCAUGGCCACAAGAAGAGCCAAUGCUGGAUACUCCAUCCCCAUCUCAAGCCGGCAAAGUUUAUGAAAGACAGAGAGGCAAGGGCUAAUAUCUCAGAUGGAGCAAGCGCAAGUGGAGCAGGUACUAGCAAAGGGAAGGAGAUACAUGGGCGUGAAGCAGGUGAUGGGAGGUCUCUUGUAGCCUACACUGGAGCCCCAAGCAACCGUGGGAACUAUGAUCAAGAGUAUCUAAGGAAAUCCGACCUGGAUGCUCUCAUUAAGCUCUUCAAGGAGCAUGGUAACAGUUUUGGAUAUUCCUUUGGUGCUAGGGCUAUAGGGAAUGAUGAGAAUCCAACUAGCAUUGAUAGGAUGCAUGAAAGUGUGAUAGAGAUAAUAAACCAAUCUAGAACAGACAGUUUUGCUAGGAAUGAUCAUGCAUUCAACCAUCUAGUAUACUUGCUCAUAUUGCUAGUUCACAUACCAUCAAGCCUUUAGUAGUUGAUUCUGGUGCAUCUCAUCAUAUGAUAAGUGACACUAGUUUGAUUAGAAACAUUGUACCAAUGAAUGGAAAUGUGAUGAUAGCUAAUGGAGAUAAGAUACCUAUUAGAGGAAUAGGAAGUCUUAAACUGUUUGAUAAGGAAACUAAAGCCUUUUAUAUGCCUGAAUUUACUUCAAACUUGUUAUCUGUUAAGAAAUGUGCUACUGAUUUGCAAUGCAAUGUCAUAUUCAGUCCUAAUGAUGUGAAGUUUCAGGAUAUUAAAAGCAGCAAGAUGAUUGGAAAGGGAGUUACUAAAGGAGAAUUGUAUUUACUUGAAGAUCUUGCUCCUGUUUCUAGUUAUAACUGCUCGUUUACUUCUGUUUCUGGUUCUAGUUUAAGUAAAAAUGCAUUGUGGCAUGCUAGAUUAGGACACCCUCAUAAUAAGGCUUUAAAACUGAUGUUGCCAGGUGUUUCCUUUGAGAAUAAUGAGUGUGAAGCUUGCAUUUUAGGCAAGCAUUGUAAGACUGUCUUUACUAAAUCUACUACGGUUUAUGAGAAGUGUUUUGAUUUGAUUCAUUCUGAUGUUUGGACUGCUCCUUGCUUAUCUAGAGACAAUCAAAAGUAUUAUGUAACUUUCAUUGAUGAAAAAUCCAAAUACACCUGGUUAACUUUAAUUCCAACCAAAGAUAGGGUACUUGAUGCAUUUAAGAACUUUCAAUCAUAUGUGACUAACCAUUAUAAUGCCAAGAUAAAGAUUUUCAGGUCAGAUAAUGGAGGAGAGUACACGGGACAAGCAUUCAAGCUCCAUCUAUCUCAGCAUGGAAUACUACAUCAGACAAGCUGUCCCUAUACUCCACAACAGAAUGGUGUGGCUGAGAGAAAGAAUAGGCAUCUGAUGGAAGUGGCCAGGUCCAUGAUGUUUCAAACCAAUGUACCCAAGAAGUUCUGGAGUGAUGCGGUCACUACAGCUUGUUAUCUCAUCAACAGAACACCAACUCUGAUUCUGUAAGGGUUAUCACCAUUUGAGGUAUUGAACCGAUACAAGCCCUCAUUGGAACAUAUGAAGAUCUUUGGGUGUUUGUGUUUUGUGAUGGUACCGGGAGAAUUAAGAAACAAGCUUGAAGCUAGAAGCUCCAAGGCAAUGUUUGUUGGAUACUCAUCAAGUCAGAAAGGAUAUAAGUGCUAUGAUCCUAACACAAGGAGAGUGUUAGUAUCUAGAGAAGUGAAGUUUGUGGAAGAAAAAGGAUAUUAUGAGGAGCAGAUUCAAGAAGAUUUGAAAGAUCUCACUUCAGAUAGAGCUGCAACCUUGAGGAUAAUACUAGAAGGACUUGGUAUCAAUAUGGAUCAAGGACAGCAAGAAGUAAGAGGCACUACACCAAUACCGAAUCAUCAGACGUCCAAUCUUGAACAUGAGGGGGGGAAUGGAACAGAAACUCAAACUCAAAGUCAUGAAGAGAGUUCUGGUUCUCAUGAUCAAGCUGUGGAGUCAAAUGAUCAACAAGAAGGAGCUGAAGCAAGUCAGCUAAGGGAUGAAGGAGCUGAAGCAAGUCAACCAAGAGAAGAAGCAAGAGAAGAAAGUACACAAGAAGAUGUACAAGACAUGGAGUUACCGGCACAAGAAGGGCCAGUGUUGAGAAGAAGUACAAGGCUGAGAAAGGAUCCUUCCAGUUGGGUAAACACGAGAGUGUACUACAAUGCUCAAGCUGUGAAGCAUCCUACUCAGGCCGUGUGUUCUUUCUCUCAAUAUCCAGAAGCACAUUGUGCAUUCAUGGUAAACUUAGAUGAGAAUCACAUUCCAAGAAGCUAUGAAGAGGCAAUGGAGGAUAAGGAAUGGAAGGAAUCAGUAGGAGCUGAAGCAGGAGCUAUGAUAAAGAAUGAUACAUAGUUUGAAAGUGAACUACCAAAAGGGAAGAAGGCAGUAUCUAGUAGAUGGAUCUUCACAAUCAAAUACAAGGCUGAUGGACAGAUUGAGAGGAAGAAGACUAGAUUAGUAGCAAGAGGGUUCACUCAAACAUAUGGAGAGGAUUACAUUGAGACAUUUGCACCAGUAGCCAAGUUACAUACCAUUAGAAUUGUACUAAGCUUGGCGGUUAACCUUGGAUGGGGAUUGUGGCAAAUGGAUGUGAAGAAUGCAUUCUUACAAGGAGAACUUGAGGAUGAAGUCUACAUGUAUCCUCCACCAGGUCUUGAACAUCUAGUGAAGAGAGGGAAUGUACUGAGGCUAAAGAAGGCUAUCUAUGGGUUGAAGCAAUCACCAAGAGCAUGGUACAACAAGUUGAGCACAACUCUGAACGGCCAAGGUUUUAAGAAGUCAGAAUUGGACCAUACUCUCUUUACCCUCACUACUCCCUCAGGUAUGGUUGCUCUCGGCCGAGGCUUCAAGAAGUCUGAACUAGACCACACUCUCUUCACACUCACAACUCCCUCAGGUAUGAUUGCACUUCUUGUGUAUGUGGAUGAUAUCAUUAUCACAGGAAGUGAUAAGGAAGGUAUCAAAGCAACUAAGGAGUUUCUAAAAAAUCUUCUAGAGCUUGCCCUAUUAUUUGUACAAGCUCCAUCUUCUCUUCAGUUCAACACUAAAGUCUUGUGUAUGUGGAUGAUAUCAUUAUCACAGGAAGUGAUAAGGAAGGUAUCAAAGCAACCAAGGAGUUUCUAAAUGAGAUUUUAUAAGGAUUCACUCAAGGUGUGUGUGUGAGAAAGUGUUUAGGAGAGUUUAUGUGAACAGAUUUGAGACUUAGGAGUAUGGGAGAGAUUUAGAGUAUGAAGGAGACUAGGUAACAAGAUUAAAGAGACUGAGAGACUUAGAGAAUAGAUUAGAGACUUAGUAUCAAGAACAUACUUUCAUAGAACAUGAAGGAGAAGGGUUUCCCCCCUUACUCUCUUGCUUAAUCAAAUCGCAUACAAGAGGCUUUUAUAAGCCUUUAUAUGUCACAAAGACUUAACCUAAAUCCUAAGGACAAGAAUACAAGAUAGAUUGAAUGGCUAGGAUGAGAGAAGAGUGGUCUUUGAUGUUCUGGUGAUAGCUGGCGACUUUUGACUGAAUGGAGAGCUCAGAUUGCUUCAUUUGAAUGAAGGGAAGAGAUUGGUCUUGCUGUAAAGGUAAAGCACCUUUACCUUUCCAGCUUGCACAUACAGCUCACUCUUAUCCCUUUGGUAUAUUCUCCUUGCCUCUCACACUCCAACGGUCACUAUAGGAACCUUAACCCGCGCCCACACAUUGCACAACUCUGAGCAAGGCUGAUCCGGGUGAUGGCCAAACCGGAUUGGAUGUACGGUCUCUUGUACGGCCUUGAGGUCCGUACACUCGCCCUAUAUCUGCACCUUCAUCCAAACAUCUUCUAUGAUUGACCCAUACACCUUCUUGGAUCGCCCUAGGCCGUACCAUGGCCGUACUGGCCCUAUCUUUGCACCAUACUUCCAUCUUCUCUCUAACUCCUCCAAAGCCUUCACAUGAUCAGUCUAAGUCUUUCCUUGACUUAACUUCACAUAACUACUUCAGAACAUCUCUGAAGCUUGAUUGAACUCUUCUUGACAUCUUCUAGAGCUUGCCCUAUUAUUUGUACAAGCUCCAUCUUCUCUUCAGUUCAACACUAAAGUCUAUGUUUGAAAUAAAAGACUUGGGAGAAAUGAAAUACUUUCUUGGAAUUGAGAUUUGUAGAUCCAAGGAAGGUUUGUUCAUGUCCCAAAGGAAGUAUACACUUGAUCUUUUGAAAGGUGCAGGUGCUUAUGGAGGCAAGACAGCAAAGAUGCCAAUGGAGGAUGGCUACAAAGUACCAAGAGAGGGGGAGAUUGAAGACAGCAAGCCAUUUCAUGAUCCUAAACUCUAUAGAAAACUUGUUGGCAAAUUGAUUUAUCUAACCAUCACAAGACCUGAUAUAUGAUUUGCUGUGAAUCAGGUGAGUCAACACAUGCAGCUUCCCAAGGAACAUCACUGGCGUAUGGUGGAGAGGCUGCUGAUGUAUCUAAAUGGCUCGCCGGAUCAAGGUGUAUGGAUGGGGUGCAAUGGAAGCACAGAAGUGGUGGGCUAUUGUGAUGCUGAUUGGGCAGGUGAUAGAGCUGACAGAAGAUCAACAACCGGCUAUUGCACAUUCAUUGGAGGCAACUUGGUGACUUGGAAGAGUAAGAAACAGAAGGUGGUGUCAUGCUCUAGUGCAGAAGCUGAGUAUAGAGCUAUGCUGAAGCUUACAAACGAGCUAGUUUGGAUCAAGGGCAUCUUGAAGCAUUUGGAGAUAGCACAAGACACUCCAAUGACAAUGCAUUGUGACAACCAGGCCGCCAUUCACAUAGCCUCCAACUCGGUGUUCCAUGAGAGAACAAAGCACAUUGAGGUUGAUUGCCACAAGGUGAGGCAGAUGAUUGUCCUAGGAGUCAUCUUGCCAUGUUAUACUAGGAGUGAAGAUCAGUUGGCUGAUGUAUUCACCAAGGCUGCAAGACAAAAGACAAAGAAACUAAGGGAGAUGGAGUUAGGAGAGGAUUGGGCAAGGCCGUACAGAAGCCGUACUAGGCCGUACAGAUUGGGCAAGGUAACUUGACCUCGGUGAACCAAAGUUACUUAGGUAACUUUGUGUGUUGAGUAGAAGCCUUGCUUAUCCUUAUCUGAUCAGAUUGUUGCAAAAGGAAGAAGGGAGCGCACAUGACAGCCUGUCCACGGUUGGCAUAAAGCAAAAGGAACCUUAUCCUUAAGGAGGAAGCUUAUUGGAUCAUUUGAAUUAAAGCAAAAGCUUAUCUCUUGUAAUAGUGUAGUUUCCUAAACCCUAGUCUCUAAUGUCGCCUCUCUAUAUAUUGUAAACUCAUGUCAUUAAUCAAGGCAAGCAAGUUAUGAGUCUCUCUUAGUCUUUAUUCUCUCAAUGGUUCUAUGCUAGACUCCUAAUCUCAUUUCAUACUCAAAUCUCUUCUAAAUCACUUCUAGUCUUUCUUAUUUACUCAGAUUACUCUACUCAAUCCUAAAAGUGAUUCUCUUUAGUCUCUUAAGUCUCUUAAUCUCUCUGUUCUUAAGUCUCUCAUAUACACUCUCCCUAAAUCACCUAGAACAAGCUCUAAUCAUUCUUCAUUGAAGCUUAUAUACACACACAUACUACCAGAGUAGAGAUCUCUUUAAAAAUCAUAAUACACUUUUGUGUAUUAGAGUGUGUUUAAGAACAAUCAGAUUGUUUUGUGUAAGAUUAAAGAGAUUAAGAGAAUAAGUAGAGAGAGAAUACUCAAAACUCCAUUUAUUGAUUUAAUGUCUCAGAUACAAGUUAUAUAUGAAGAGAUAAGGCUGGUACAAAGGGGAUUUCGAAAUGGGACUCAAAGCAUGUGAAGUCAAAGCUAGCUGGAUGGUUGAGAGGUUUCACAUGCUUGGAUAGGCUGUAAAGUAUCUUUUCCUUUCCAGCUAUGACCAGACCUUAUCCAAACUGAUUCUUUCUUAUCCAAACUGCUCCUUGGCGUGAUAUACUCUCCAAAGUGUUGCAAGGUAACUUCCCAAGCCUUUAACUUAGUUACGACAGUAAAAACUAAAGUUACUAUGGUAAAUCCCCAAAGUUACUGACUUCUUCAAUGUUUAGAUGAGAGGAUAGAGAGAAGAUACAUUGAUAGAGGAAGAUAAUUUGGGCAGUCAGUAACUUUGGGGAUUUACCACAGUAACUUUAGUUUUACUGUGGUAACUAAGUUAAAAGCUUGGGAAGUUACCUUUGGAGAGUGGAGCACACCUAAGGAGUAGUCUGGAUAGGAAAGGAGAAGUUUGGAUAAGGUCUGGUCAUAACCAAAGAGUGUGACAGCCUUGGACAGGCUGGAACCAGCUGGAAAGCUAAAGCAAGAUACCAAUACCCAAGCAUGUGGGGAACCUUAUUGGCUAGUUCAAAUCAGACAUCUUUGACUACACAUGCUUCUUAUCCUUGCAAGACUGAAUCUGGACAAAAUUAUGUAUCUCUUUCCUAUAUAUGUUGUAAACUCACUCAUAAAUCAACUAAUGGAGUUUUGAGUCUCUCUCUUUAUUCUCUCACUAAAAUCUCUUCAUCGCUUUAAUAUUUUCAUCUGAUUAUCUCUGAUUGUUUGAAUCAUGCUCUAAUACACAAAAGUGUAUACGGUAUCAGAGCCAGGUUGGCAAAAAGGGGGUGAGUGUGAUUUCGUUUUCUCAAAAUCAGAGUGUUCUUGAGUGUUCUUGGGAUUGUUGAGGUUUCUGGGUAUCUGUGUUGUCUAUCCUUCUGUGGCUGGGUUUAUUUGAGAUUCUCUGGUGGAAACAUGGAUAUGAAGCACGAAUAUAGUGAAGCAGUGAAGAUUCAAGAAGAAAACAAGUGGGUUUGGCCAAGAUGGGUAAAGACAGCCUUAGGAAGCUGUGAGAUUUGGAGUAAUCAUGUAAAGGGAGAACCUUUAAUGGAGAGAGCUGCUGAUGGGGGUCAGACAGCAAGGUUGAAGUGUGAAGAUCAGUUGAGUCUUGAAGAAAGUAUAUCUCUUGAGAAGAUUGAAGAUGUUUAUGAGAACAAGAUCAAUCUAAGGAGGAUGUAUGAAGUCAGGAAGAUGAUCUGUGAGUUAAAACAAGGGAAAGAAGGUUUCAAUCAGCAUGUGAAGAAGCUGAGAUGUUUGUGGUCGGAGUUACAAAGCUUGAGACCAAGAAGUUGUGAUCCAAGAGUGCUAGAAGAGUGGCGAGAGCAAGAUGUUGUCUUCAGCCUCCUUGCAAGCUUGGAUUCAUCUUAUGGCUGGUUGGUAAAGCUUAUUCUCAAGGAAGAGAAGCUACCCAACAUGGAAGAAGUGUGUGUACUUGUUCAGAGGCUUCAUCAAGUGAUGGAAGAGAACAAAGAGAUAACUUGGAGUAAGGAGGGUGCUAAAAGGAAGAAGGGAAGGCUGAGACGUGAUACAAGAUACAAUUCGAAAUCAUAGGGUCAGAGGAGAUCAGGAACGUGUGGAGUCAAGGAGAGCCAUCCAAAAGCAGCCAAUGGGUGUUCUCACAUGCUUGGACAGGCUGUAAAGAUGUUUUACCUUUCCAGCUAUGACCAGACCUUAUCCAGAAUGCUUCUUCCUGUUAAGAUGAGGUGAUGAAGAGUUGAUACAUGGAUAGAGGAACAGUAUUGGGGCAGAUGGUAACUUUGGAGUUUUACCACAGUAACUUUAGUUUUACUGUGGUAACUAAGUUAAAGGCUUAGGAAGUUACCUUUGUUGAGAUGAGAUCAUUAGAUGAGAAGAGAAGGCUUGAGAGGUUAAGUAUGAAUGCAGAAGAAGGAGCUUAGGAGGAAUGGAGAAGCGAGGCUGAGGCAUCCGUACAAGGCCGUACAAGGCCGUACAUGGCCGUACACACUUACCUCAGCCACGGUUAAGCCAAGAGUUACUUAAGUAACUUCACUAGAUAAGAAGAAGCUCUGAUCACUUAUCUAAAGGAUCAGACCGUUACCAAAAGGAAGAAGGAGCGUGUGACAGCCUGUCUUGGGCUGGAAAGAAGAAGGCAUAAAGCAAAGAUGCUUCACACACGCGGUCACUCCCAUUGGAUAGAUUCAAAUGCAUUCUUAUCCUAUCCAUUGACUCCACAUGCUUUCUCCCUUU
This 8480-nucleotide long non-coding RNA is filed under the name Brassica napus (rape). Its description in RNAcentral is "long non-coding RNA (BNAP_LNC015232)". Lineage: Eukaryota; Viridiplantae; Streptophyta; Magnoliopsida; Brassicales; Brassicaceae. The record is from RNAcentral.